This 481-nucleotide ribosomal RNA is filed under the name uncultured bacterium. Its description in RNAcentral is "partial 16S ribosomal RNA". It matches the Rfam family "Bacterial small subunit ribosomal RNA", at positions 30 to 507 of the family's 1533-position model. The record is from RNAcentral.
AUUGAACGCUGGCGGCAUGCCUUACACAUGCGAGUCGAACGGUAACGGGCCUUCGGGUGCCGACGAGUGGCGAACGGGGGAGUAAUACACCGGAACGUGCCCGACCUUGGGGAUAACGAGGCGAGAGCUUUGCUAAUACCGCAUACGAACUACGGAUGAAAGCAGGGGACGGCAAGGCCUUGCGCGGACGGAGCGGCUGAUGUCAGAUUAGGUAGUUGGUGGGAUAAACGCUUAGCAAGCCGACGAUCUGUAGCUGGUCUGGGAGGAGGGUCAGCCACACUGGAACUGGGACACGGCCCCGACUCCUGCGGGAGGCAGCAGUGGGGAAUUUUAGACAGUGGGCGCAAGCCUGAUCCAGCCAUGGCGCGUGCAGGAUGGAGGCCUUCGGGUUGUAAACUGCUUUUGUACGGAACGAAAAGCCUUCUUUUAAUACAGGAGGGUCAUGACGGUACCGUAAGAAUAAGCACCGGCUAACUACGUG